UUACUUAAGAUUCCGUGUUUUUUUUUUUACCUGUUCCGAUCUGAGCCGAACGCAGGGGACGGUUUGUCGGACAAAUGUGGAUCCGGGCUAGGGGGGCUGUAUCUGAUACUGGCAAGCUUGAGUCUCGUAGAGGGGGGUGGAAUUCCAGGUGUAGCGGUGAAAUGCGUAGAGAUCUGGAGGAAUACCGGUGGCGAAGGCGGCCCCCUGGUUGAAGACUGACGCUCAGGUGCGAAAGCGUGGGGAGCAAACAGGAUUAGAUACCCUGGUAGUCCACGCCGUAAACGAUGUCGACUUGGAGGUUGUGCCCUUGAGGCGUGGCUUCCGGAGCUAACGCGUUAAGUCGACCGCCUGGGGAGUACGGCCGCAAGGUUAAAACUCAAAUGAAUUGACGGGGGCCCGCACAAGCGGUGGAGCAUGUGGUUUAAUUCGAUGCAACGCGAAGAACCUUACCUGGUCUUGACAUCCACAGAACUUUCCAGAGAUGGAUUGGUGCCUUCGGGAACUGUGAGACAGGUGCUGCAUGGCUGUCGUCAGCUCGUGUUGUGAAAUGUUGGGUUAAGUCCCGCAACGAGCGCAACCCUUAUCCUUUGUUGCCAGCGGUCCGGCCGGGAACUCAAAGGAGACUGCCAGUGAUAAACUGGAGGAAGGUGGGGAUGACGUCAAGUCAUCAUGGCCCUUACGACCAGGGCUACACACGUGCUACAAAUGGCGCAUACAAAGAGAAGCGACCUCGCGAGAGCAAGCGGACCUCAUAAAGUGCGUCGUAGUCCGGAUUGGGAGUCUGCAACUCGACUCCAUGAAAGUCGGAAUCGCUAGUAAUCGUGGAUCAGAAUGCCACGGUGAAUACGUUCCCGGGGCCUUUGUACACACCGCCCGUCACACCCAUGGGAGUGGGUUGCAAACAGAAGUAAGGUAGCUUAACCUUCGGGAGGGCGCUUACCCACUUUGUGAUUCAUGACUGGGGUGAAGUCGUAACAAGGUAGCCGUUA
Molecule: ribosomal RNA, 989 nt
Filed under: uncultured Escherichia sp.
Lineage: Bacteria; Pseudomonadati; Pseudomonadota; Gammaproteobacteria; Enterobacterales; Enterobacteriaceae
Description: bacterial SSU rRNA
Rfam family: Bacterial small subunit ribosomal RNA
Source: RNAcentral